This 583-nucleotide ribosomal RNA is filed under the name Quambalaria cyanescens. RNAcentral's name for it is "eukaryotic LSU rRNA". It matches the Rfam family "Eukaryotic large subunit ribosomal RNA", at positions 85 to 656 of the family's 3401-position model. Lineage: Eukaryota; Fungi; Basidiomycota; Exobasidiomycetes; Microstromatales; Quambalariaceae. The record is from RNAcentral.
UACGGCGAGUGAGCGGGAAGAGCUCAAAUUUGAAAGCUGGCACCUUCGGUGUCCGCGUUGUAAUCUCGAGAAGUGUUUUCCGUGCUGGACCAUGUACAAGUUCCUUGGAAUAGGACGUCAUAGAGGGUGAAAAUCCCGUACUUGACAUGGACGCCCAGUGCUUUGUGAUACACUCUCCACGAGUCGAGUUGUUUGGGAAUGCAGCUCAAAAUGGGUGGUAAAUUCCAUCUAAAGCUAAAUAUUGGGGAGAGACCGAUAGCGAACAAGUACCGUGAGGGAAAGAUGAAAAGCACUUUGGAAAGAGAGUUAAACAGUACGUGAAAUUGUCGAAAGGGAAGCGCUUGAAGUUAGACAUGCUUGCCGGGAUUCAGCCUUGCUUUUGCUUGGUGCAUUUCCCGGUGUGCAGGCCAGCAUCAGUUUUGUUUGCCGGAUAAGGGUGAGAGGAAUGUGGCCCCUCGGGGUGUUAUAGCCUCUCACUGGAUACGGCGGAUGGGACUGAGGACCGCAGUGUGCCUUUAUGGCGGGCCUUCGGGCACCUUCACACUUAGGAUGCUGGCGUAAUGGCUUUAAGCGACCCGUCUUG